GACGAACGCUGGCGGCGUGCUUAACACAUGCAAGUCGAGCGGUAAGGCCCUUUCGGGGGUACACGAGCGGCGAACGAGUGAGUAACACGUGGGUGACCUGCCCUCAGCUCUGGGAUAAGCCUGGGAAACCGGGUCUAAUACUGGAUAUGACUCCAUGACGCAUGUUGUGGGGUGGAAAGCCUUGUGCGGCUGAGGAUGGGCCCGCGGCCUAUCAGCUUGUUGGUGGGGUGAUGGCCUACCAAGGCGACGACGGGUAGCCGGCCUGAGAGGGCGACCGGCCACACUGGGACUGAGACACGGCCCAGACUCCUACGGGAGGCAGCAGUGGGGAAUCUUGCGCAAUGGGCGAAAGCCUGACGCAGCGACGCCGCGUGAGGGAUGACGGCCU
Molecule: ribosomal RNA, 388 nt
Filed under: uncultured bacterium
Lineage: Bacteria
Description: bacterial SSU rRNA
Rfam family: Bacterial small subunit ribosomal RNA
Source: RNAcentral